CGCACGGGUGCGCAACGCGUAUAGAACCUACCCUGUACAGGGGGAUAGCCCAGAGAAAUUUGGAUUAAUACCCCGUAGUAAAUAUAGAUGGCAUCAUUUAUAUUUUAAAGUUUUCGGGCGGUACAGGAUGGCUAUGCGUCCUAUUAGUUAGAUGGUGAGGUAACGGCUCACCAUGGCAGCGAUAGGUAGGGGCCCUGAGAGGGGGAUCCCCCACACUGGUACUGAGACACGGACCAG
RNAcentral lists this ribosomal RNA (237 nucleotides) under uncultured bacterium. RNAcentral describes it as "partial 16S ribosomal RNA". It matches the Rfam family "Bacterial small subunit ribosomal RNA", at positions 99 to 334 of the family's 1533-position model. The record is from RNAcentral.